RNAcentral lists this ribosomal RNA (810 nucleotides) under uncultured bacterium. Its description in RNAcentral is "bacterial SSU rRNA". It matches the Rfam family "Bacterial small subunit ribosomal RNA", at positions 62 to 867 of the family's 1533-position model. The record is from RNAcentral.
UCGACGGCAGCACGGGGGGUAACCCCUGGUGGCGAGUGGCGAACGGGUGAGUAAUAUAUCGGAACGUGUCCUGUAGCGGGGGAUAACCUAUCGAAAGAUGGACUAAUACCGCAUACGACCUAUGGGUGAAAGCGGAGGACCGCAAGGCUUCGCACUAUAGGAGCGGCCGAUAUCGGAUUAGCUAGUUGGUGGGGUAACGGCCUACCAAGGCGACGAUCCGUAGCUGGUCUGAGAGGACGAUCAGCCACACUGGAACUGAGACACGGUCCAGACUCCUACGGGAGGCAGCAGUGGGGAAUUUUGGACAAUGGGCGCAAGCCUGAUCCAGCCAUGCCGCGUGAGUGAAGAAGGCCUUCGGGUUGUAAAGCUCUUUCGGCGGGGACGAAACGGUUCGUGCUAAUACCACGGACUACUGACGGUACCCGCAGAAGAAGCACCGGCUAACUACGUGCCAGCAGCCGCGGUAAUACGUAGGGUGCAGGCGUUAAUCGGAAUUACUGGGCGUAAAGCGUGCGCAGGCGGUUUGUUAAGACAGGUGUGAAAUCCCCGGGCUUAACCUGGGAAUUGCGCUUGUAACUGGCAGACUGGAGUGUGGCAGAGGGGGGUGGAAUUCCGCGUGUAGCAGUGAAAUGCGUAGAUAUGCGGAGGAACACCGAUGGCGAAGGCAAUCCCCUGGGCCUGCACUGACGCUCAUGCACGAAAGCGUGGGGAGCAAACAGGAUUAGAUACCCUGGUAGUCCACGCCCUAAACGAUGUCAACUGGUUGUUGGGAAUUUACUUUCUCAGUAACGAAGCUAACGCGUGAAGUUG